GAGCGAGCGGCGGGUGUCCCUGAGAGGCCACCUUUCGACCUUCGAGGGCCAGGAGGAUACGGGGAGGUGGCCGGAGGGAGUUCCCGAACACAGGUCUUCCUGUUCCCGCCGAGCAGGUGUUGGCGGUGCCAGGCCCGGCCUGGCGGGCCCGGGCUGGCAGCCAAAUACCCAGCGUCUGUGCUCGGGACGGGAGUGUUCGUCCAGGACGUGCAGCUCCGGAGCCUGCGCGGGCGACCUUGACCACCUUUGUCGGCUGUUUCCCCCUGAGGGAAGUAUACCUGUCCUGCCAGCCUUGGUCUCUGGCAGGGAAGGUCCUUCCAACAGAGAGGGAAUUGCUUAGAAUUGACUCAACACUGCCUCCUUGCUGAAUGGAUAAUUCAAGCAAACAACUCAAGAGCUGGAUGCUGCCCAGACAGGUAGGCAGCCAGAUAAAGUGAGUGUCCAGGGAAAGAGCAGUAAGGGUCAGAAGAGAAAGAGCCUGGUGUUCUCACUGCCUCCUGCCUUCCUUAUGACUGUCUGUUCAGAAGUCCUCCUAGCAUCUUUCUUCUGCCUUCCCCUGCUCCUGUCCCUGAAACCUUUUCUUCAAAAGAAGUGGAAAAGAGGAACUGGGAACCCAUAUAGCAACAGCAUCACCUGGAAUGAAUUCCUUUAGAACAUACUGUCUUGGAAAUCUGAAGCCUGCAGGGCUGGACAGGCAAGAAGAGCAGUGAGCACUGCAUGAACCUGCAUGUACUCCGAAAUAUUUUUCAAAUGGAAAAGAAAACAGAGAACACAAUUUUCAAAAUAUCUAGAGCCCUCCAAGAAGUCUUUGUAGAGAUCUAUAAAAUCUCAAGGCAAUUUAAAGAAUAGAAAAAUGUUUUAGAAACACUAUUCUCUCCACAUCCUGGGGCAGCAGCCUUCUCCAAAGAAACAGAAAGAAGGAAAUGGAUUGCCUUAGCAAAAAAACAAAUGAAGACACUCCAAAUAACAGAAGAAUGGGAAGGCUACAGACCUUGAAGUCAGAAGAAAAUUUCCUCUCCUUGCCCCGUUUCUCCUUAAAUGGAUCACCAGUACAGUCUCUUACUUCUAGAGCCAUGUUAAGCUUUCUUCCCCAAAGUUGUAAUGUCCUUCUUUUGGUUGUGUCGUGUCCUAAAAUCCUACUCUUUGGUACAAGAUGAAGGUAUAUGAAGAGAUAAUGAAGGAAACAAAUUCAAUGUGUUUGCCAAGAACACAGUCUUUUAAAUAACUCUUAAAGGGUUCGUUUAAAACAGUGUAAUAAAUUGUGGUAAUCUAGUACACAAAGCUAGUAGGAACCUCGUUUAUUAAUAAUAUUUCAACAUUGAGCAGUAGAGGGCAGCACUAUCCUUCUUUUGCAAAAUGUUGAGCACUCUUGAGAAGGAAAAUAAAGGCAAAGCUCCUGACCCCUGUGUCUGUGUUUACUUUUACCAUUAAAAAAAAACAAAAAAUUGGAGUAUUUUUAUUAUGGUUUAGGUGAUUAUGUAUAAAGAAUGUCAGAGCCUGCAUUACCUGGAAGUGGUGCACCAGGUAAUGCAAAAAACACGGAAGGUUUGAGGUCCCCCACUCAGGAUAUGGGUUCUGUCUAGUAAAGAUAAACAGUAGCUUGACCCUGGGUAAUCAGAUAGGGUUAUUGUAUGAACAGACCUAAUGCUCCUGCACGUUCUGGAUAGAAGUCAAUCUACUGAAAUAGCAGGAUGUAGUUUUAAAAAAUGUGUGUAACUCAUAUAGUCUUAGCCCUGAUAAGUGCUUCUAAAUUCUUAUUCACUGCCUUUAUUCUGCUGUGUUAGUGUUGCUCUCUGUCAUACGUGGGUCAGGUCAGAACUAGCUCAAAUACAGUAUGUGUAUUAUGACUUUAAGGAGUGGUGUCAGACAAGAUGGGUAAAGAAUGUCUUUCAUGGGACUGCAGUUGGCUAAAUGGCUGUGUAUAAGUAGUGAAAUUGAAGCCUUGUAUGCUCGUCGUCAUUCUAUCACAGUAUGAUUUGAGUUUCCCUAACCGGUAAACAGCAAGAAAAAAUGAUCUGUUAUUUUUUACUAAAGUUACUUGAUGCUCUUUAGCAAGCUGACAGAAUAAUUCUAAUUUUAGCAAAUACAAAACCAUGGUAAUCCUAGCACAUUUGGAUUCUGUUUAACCCUGAAAACUCUUUUGGCAGCAAAUCUUCAAUGCCAAUUUAGAUAAAUCCCACUAGGAAUAAGCACUGAAAGACGUUGAGUCUAGUUCCCAGCUCUGCCAUGUGAAGUUGGGCAAAUUACAGUCUCUGAGCUUUUAUUUCAUCUGUUAAAUGGAGAUAAUACCUCCUAGAUUUAUUAAAAGGGUCAAUUUAGAAAAUAUGUAUUAAAAUGGUUUGAAAGCCAUUUAAGUACCUAAUGAAUAUUUCUAUCACUGUAGCCCAAAAAGAUUCCUGCCUAGAAGACUUUAUGUCUCUUCUCCUCAUUUGGUAUCAUUCUAUUGCCUGAGAUUGUUAAUUAACUUUUAUGUAUACUCAAUAUUUUCUCCCAACUUGGUUGCUAGUUCCUUGAGAACUGAAACCAUCAAUUGCACUUCUUGGUAUCCUCCACAAUAAGGUAUCUAGGUACUCAAAUAUUUGUUGGUUGAUUAAAAACAUAAACCACAAGACAUAAUUAACUCUUUUUAAAAUUGUGGUAAAAAAACAUGUAUUUACCAUCUUAAUCAUUUUUAAGUAUACUGUAUAUUAGUGUUUACUAUAUGCACAUUGUUGUGCAACACAUCUCUAGGACUUUUUCAUCCAGAAUUCUUUUUUUUUGAGACAGAGUCUUGCUGUGUCGCCCAAGCUGGAGUUCAGUGGCACCAUCCUGGCUCACUGCAACUGCUGCCUCCCAGGUUCAAGUGAUUCUCCUGCCUCAGCCUCCCGAGUAGCUGGGAUUACAUGUGCCUGCCACCACGCCUGGCAAGUUUUUGUAUUUUUAGUAGAAAUGGUGUUUUACCAUGUUGGCCAAGACUGGCCUAGAACUCCAGACCUCAAGUGAUCCACCCGCCUCAGCAGCCCAAAGUGGUGGGAUUACAGGCAUGAGCAACUGUGCCUGGCCUAGCCAUUUUCUAUAAACCUGAAAAUAGAUGCCAGAAAAGAAGGUGCCGCUAUAAAAUGCUUUCUUGAGUGAUUUAUGUCUAACAUACAAUUAAACAUUUAUGAGAAGGAAAUUAUCAGGUUAAAAUAUAAACUCACUUGCCAAUUAUUUGAUUUUCAGGAUAUCUGACUUUUGUUAAUUACUGAAAAUAAAGUAUUAUUUCUAAU
RNAcentral lists this long non-coding RNA (3248 nucleotides) under Homo sapiens (human). RNAcentral describes it as "HSALNT0359519". The record is from RNAcentral. Lineage: Eukaryota; Metazoa; Chordata; Mammalia; Primates; Hominidae.